This 253-nucleotide ribosomal RNA is filed under the name uncultured bacterium. RNAcentral describes it as "partial 16S ribosomal RNA". It matches the Rfam family "Bacterial small subunit ribosomal RNA", at positions 524 to 776 of the family's 1533-position model. The record is from RNAcentral.
UACAGAGGGUGCAAGCGUUGUUCGGAAUUAUUGGGCGUAAAGGGCGUGUAGGCGGUCUGCUAAGUCAUGUGUGAAAUCCCUCGGCUUAACCGAGGAACGACGCAUGAAACUGGCAAGCUAGAGUACCAAAGAGGGUCGCGGAAUUCCCGGUGUAGAGGUGAAAUUCGUAGAUAUCGGGAGGAACACCGGUGGCGAAGGCGGCGACCUGGGUAGAUACUGACGCUGAGGUGCGAAAGCGUGGGGAGCAAACAGG